UUUAAGGAUGAUGCACAUCCGUGGGUCGGAACAUAAUACAGCAAUUUAUGAGCUCUGAUUGAGAUGUUCUUCUGGAUCGUCGGGUCUGAGACUGCAAUAUAAUGAGCAGCCUUUCGCAUUCGGUCAGCGGUUUCUGUUGAAGAUGUGACCUAGGGUUCUCAGGGUGGUGGAGAAAUGCGUUCAACAGCUGCUCUGGAGGUGAAUUGAAAAUGGUGUUAAUUUUCACGGGUAAUGAAUCAAAGCAGCAGAUUAGAAGCGUUGGGGGAUUGAGGUUCAAUUGAGUGGAAAUGAGUCAGCUUCCGUAAUACGCUUCCAAAACAAUUGGUGAACAAAAACGAACAAAAAGACUAAUAAAUAACACUCCACCGAUUACCACCUACUAGGAACUUCGAUCUCCCUCAGGAUGAAAUGCUCUCUGGCGACUUUCUCUACUCCACGCCAGUCGCCAUUCCCAGCGGACUCACCAACACAACCGACAUGUCUAUCGAGCGAACGAGACCCCGAAAACACUUAACUUUGGAACGCUUCACUGCGUGCUCAAGUGACCAUCUACUCCAGUGCAGUCCGAGCGCUGGGGUCGCAAAACGCAACUCUCCGGGGUGUAUUUUGACAUAUUAAUCUAAAGAAUUUCAGUGAUUUGUUUUCAUCCAUUCUUGGGUUCCACUUUGUAAGAAAAUGCCGACAUCGCGCAGAAAACAAUAAAAUAACAUUACCAAGAGCCUCUGUAUGCGUGCGUGUCCUUACGGCCGGCAGACUGGCAAAGCAAGUGACACGCACUAAAGGAUCGGGGGACAAAAAAAUCCGCAGGACAAUUGGAUCAAACGUACCGAACCACGCCUUCCGUUUGCUCUCUUUACGGUUUUUAGCCAAAAGAACAAAAAUCGCAACAAGAUAAAUGUAUAUCGACGAUGACAGCUUCGUAAUGAUGUUUUUGCGUCCUUCUUCUC
Long non-coding RNA from Wyeomyia smithii (pitcher-plant mosquito), 947 nucleotides. RefSeq lists it as uncharacterized. NCBI's taxonomy places the organism in Eukaryota, Metazoa, Arthropoda, Insecta, Diptera, Culicidae. The transcript is spliced from 3 exons. The record is from RefSeq and is a predicted model, not a curated record.